This is a non-coding RNA of Picea glauca (white spruce), 120 nucleotides long. The record is from Rfam. Lineage: Eukaryota; Viridiplantae; Streptophyta; Pinopsida; Pinales; Pinaceae.
GUUCUAGCUUGAGACCAACCUUAAUGCACCAGAUCCCAUCAGAACUCCGCAGUUAAGCACGCUUGGGCUAGAGUAGUACUAGGAUGGGUAACCUCCUGGGAAGUCCUAGUGUUGAGACCA